Molecule: non-coding RNA, 3850 nt
Organism: Paramormyrops kingsleyae
Lineage: Eukaryota; Metazoa; Chordata; Actinopteri; Osteoglossiformes; Mormyridae
Source: RefSeq, a predicted model, not a curated record
GCUGCCUCUGACGUCCCUUGCCCAGUGUCUGGUGGAGGGGGCCGCAAUUUUGGGGGAUGAGUCACUCCUGGGGAAGAUGCUGAAGCUGUGCGGGGACACGGAGGAGAAGCUGGCGCAGGAGCUGCUGCUGUUCGAGCUGCAGAUUGAGCGGGACGUGGUGGAGCCGCUGUACAUGCUGGCUGAGGUGGAAAUCCCCAACAUUCAGAAACAGAGGAAACAUUUAGCUAAACUAGUUUUGGAUAUGGAUUCAGCACGGACUCGGUGGCAGCAGUCCUCCAAGUCCUCGGGUCACCCCAGCAACCUGCAGCAGGGCGGAGCCAAGGCCGACGCCCUCAGGGAGGAGAUGGAGGAGGCUGCCAAUCGCAUGGAGAUUUGCAGGGAUCAGGUGUCCGCAGAUAUGUACAACUUUGUGGCCAAAGAAAUAGACUAUGCAAACUACUUUCAGACGCUAAUAGAGCUGCAGGCAGAGUACCACAGGAAGUCUCUUGAAGUCCUCCAGAGCGUCCUUCCCCAGAUUAAGGCACACCAGGAGGCCUGGGUAGAGAAGCCAUCUUUCGGGAAGUCCCUGGAGGAACACCUGACCCUGACUGGACGUGAGAUCGCAUUCCCCAUCGAGGCUUGCGUGACCAUGCUGCUAGAGUGCGGCUUGCAGGAAGAGGGCCUGUUCCGGGUGGCUCCCUCGGCCUCCAAGUUGAAGAAGCUGAAAGCAUCGCUGGACUGUGGCGUCUUGGAUGUGCAGGAGUACUCGGCGGACCCGCACGCUAUUGCAGGCGCAUUGAAAUCCUACCUGCGUGAACUGCCGGAGCCGCUGAUGACCUUUGAACUUUACGACGAUUGGAUCUAUGCCUCCAAUAUCCAGGAUCAGGACGUAAGGCUACAAGCCUUGUUGUCGACAUGUGAGAAGCUGCCCACGGACAACGUCAACAACUUCAGGUACCUGAUCAAAUUCCUGGCCAAGCUGACUGAGUACCAGGACAUCAAUAAGAUGACGCCAGGGAAUAUAGCCAUUGUGCUGGGGCCCAACCUGCUGUGGCCGCAGACCGAGGGGAACAUCACGGAGAUGAUGACCACUUUGUCACUGCAGAUCGUGGGCAUCAUUGAGCCGAUCAUCCUGCACGCUGACUGGUUCUUCCCAGGCGACAUCGAGUUCAACCUGACAGGUAGCUAUGGCAGCCCGAUCCACACCAACCACAACUCCAACUACAGCUCGAUGCCUUCGCCUGACAUGGACCACUCCGAGCGCAAGCAGCACGACCAGAGCCGGCGCCCGCUCAGCGUCGCCACCGACAACAUGAUGCUGGAGUUCUACAAGAAAGAUGGCAUAAGGAAGAUACAAAGCAUGGGUGUCCGGGUGAUGGACACUUCAUGGGUAACCCGCAGGGGCUCCUCCACUCUGGCCCGCAAGACGUCCUCCACCCCCCCUGGCGCCCAAGCCCCCGACGCCCUCAUCCCUGAGCUGCCCGCCGAGCCGGGCCCUUCCCCUACCCCGUCCCCCGCCACUGGAGACCGAGCCAGCUCGGAUGACGUGUCGUCCAAUCGGUCGGACUCCUGUUCCGCCUACCCGCCCCCAGGGGAGGCCAGGCCCCCCCCUCCUUACCCCACCUCCUGCUACCCCUCCUCAUUCCAUGUUUACCAGCGACCCCAGCCUUGUGCGCGUCCUGUCGCCCCCGGCCCUGAGUCUGUACCCCCCGGUGGCUCGCCCCCGCUCCUCCGCUGGACUGGCUACAGCCCCCCGCUGCCGCCUCCUUCCUGCUCCUCCUCUUCCUCCUCCUCCUCCUCCUCCUCCGCCUCUUCCUCCCAGCAGCUUGACAUCAACUCGAACCCUAAACCCAGCUGCCUGCACCUCCCCAAGCAGGGCUCGCUCUGCGAUGCUUUGCAUGGCGCCCCACCUGAGGCAAACGCCUCUUCCCUCUACAUGAAAACCCCCCUGGUCCUGAGCAGACACGAGCCGUCACUCGGCACCCCCCUUAAUGCCCCCCCGCCCGGCCCUUCCGGCCCGCCGCCUUGGGUCAGCUGUGCCUGUGUUGGAGACAGAGCAGCCAGGCAGACUAGCUCGCUGAAGAACAAGGAGCCGUCUCCUGUGAUCGGGCACAAGGCAGUGCAAGUGUCGGGCGCCCUGGCGCUCUCUGGCUGCGGGCCGCAGGGUGGCAGCCAGUCACAGCUGACUACUGAGCAGAGCCCUCACUCCCUGCGCAAAGUGUCCAGGAAGCUGGCUCCCAUUCCACCCAAGGUGCCGUACGGCCAGACUGGGGGGGUGUCGGACCAGUCCACAGGUCAGCCGUCGCCGGUCAGCCUGUCCCCCACGCCCCCCAGCACCCCGUCCCCAUACGGACACGGCCCUAUGGCCUCACCUGGACAGGCCCCGCCCGGGGCACCCCACGCCCUGUCGUCUCCGCCCUCCCUGACGGGCACGCUCACCAAGUCCCGGCCCGCCCCCAAGCCCCGGCAGAGGCCCAGCCUGCCCCCGCCCCAGCCCCCGGUGGCCCCCGGGUCGGGCGGCUCCGGCCCCCAGUCUCUGGAGCCCGGCCUGCUGGACAGCAUGUCCCCCGAAGAGAGUGUGUCCACAGGUAAACCUGCCCACAUGCCCCCUCACCUGGUACCCGGCGAGCACCGGCCCACUCUCUCCGUAUCGCUCUCUUCGACUGGCACUAGCGUGGUCGUCUAGACUCCCGUCACUAGGGGGCGCCUGUCCCAACAAAGGGCAGCGUUGCCUGCAAGAUCCUUCGGUUAUUGCGCUGACAAGCCCUUUCAGAUGCGAUCUACAGCAAAUAACAUGAACUAUAAAUACAUGUAUAUAAAUGGAACAAUAAUAAUAAUAAUUAAUAUAGGCUUGAUAUAUACAUGCAAAUGAUGCAAAGCUACGAAUCUCAACUGGAUGCUUUAUGUUUUUUAUUGACUGAUUCAUCAAGUCUUAUUUUUAUCACCAGUUCUUGUCGAGAAAAUUCACAGGGCGACAUUUUCAGCUCUUGUUGAAAACGGUGCUACACAUAACACUCGCCCUGUGACCGUCAGGAACGUGGUUCCCUUCGUCUGUUGAAUCCUGCUUCCUUUUUUUAACCCUUUCCCUGAAGCCUCAGGGCCUAACCUGUGCUCUCAGUUAUGUCGUUAGUCGGAAAAUCUGUUCACGUGGCGGAUCGGGUGUAAAUCGGUCGUGAAAAGAAAUGGAAGAAGCUGGUUUGACUCCGCCCCUCUCUCUUCACAUAAAUCAAGGGAAUUAAUUCAUUUUAAUUCCAUGCCAGCAGAGGGGGGGGAAGAAGCAUGGGAAAACAUUUACAUAAUAUUUACAUAAAUCAGAUAGUGAUAUUCUAACAUAUUUCUGCAUGCAUUGUAAAAAAAUACAUUACUAUAUAUGGUUUUAUGCUUUACGCAAUAUUAAAAAGCCAUAAAACUACUAUAUCCCUUCCAUCGUAUCAUAGUGUGGCCAAUCGGAACCUUGUGACUUACUUGUUUCCAGGGGAAGGUAUUUGCGGUUGCACCAUCAUACGGCGAGCAGUGCCCAAGCUUUAUUCUUCCCUCAGUGGUGAAGGGGCCCCGGCCAGGGCAGGGAGAGGGUUAAAAUGUCCUCCGUAGCCUUUGAUGGCCUCUGUUCUUACUUUCUGUUACCAUCUCUGUUCUUUCUGUUUUGCUUUUGUCGAUUGUUCUUAUUGUGUACUUCACAGCGGUGUGAGACCAGGGAUUGAGUGUGGGCUAAAUGUGAGGGGGAUUUUUAGGUCAUCCUUUCUGAUACAGCAUCUCCAUCGGACCUCUUCAGUCUGGAAAUGCCCACCAUCAGUAUUGAACUUGAUGGCCUCUUUGAUGAGCUCAGUGGCGCCCCCUGUGGGCGUGCUCUGACAGUGGUGGACUCGCAUGU